This 193-nucleotide ribosomal RNA is filed under the name uncultured bacterium. RNAcentral describes it as "partial 16S ribosomal RNA". It matches the Rfam family "Bacterial small subunit ribosomal RNA", at positions 1308 to 1500 of the family's 1533-position model. The record is from RNAcentral.
AACUACGCCUGCACGAAGUUGGAAUUGCUAGUAAUCGCGGAUCAGCAUGCCGCGGUGAAUACGUUCCCGGGUCUUGUACACACCGCCCGUCACACCAUGGGAGCUGGUAACACCCGAAGUCAGUAGUCUAACCGCAAGGAGGACGCUGCCGAAGGUGGGAUUAGCGACUGGGGUGAAGUCGUAACAAGGUAAC